RNAcentral lists this long non-coding RNA (6121 nucleotides) under Zostera marina. RNAcentral describes it as "long non-coding RNA (ZMAR_LNC001671)". The record is from RNAcentral. Lineage: Eukaryota; Viridiplantae; Streptophyta; Magnoliopsida; Alismatales; Zosteraceae.
AUAGAAUCAAUUGUUAUGAUAAUUGUCGUUGGUUCUCCCGAUAGAUUCUGAGAUCCCCAAAUAGUUUAAUUUCUUUUUUCCGUUGCUGUCAAUUUUGCGAUUUUAAAAUCGCAAGAUUUUUUGUCACCUAUUUCGUUGCCAAUCUUGUGAGUCCGCGCCAACAGUUCUCGUCAAUCUUGUGGUUUCAUCGUCACUCAUCGCAUUCGUUCCAAUCUCGUUGCUAAUCCUUCUAGUCGUCAUUCUACAUUCGUUCCAGGUCUGUUCUGCCUACUUUUUCUGUGGUUUAAAAUCGUCAUUUUUUUUUGGUUUUUUCUGCCAUUGCCGUUGCCAGCAGGUGUUGAUUUUUCCAUUGAUUAAAUUGUUGAUUUAGGGAAUUUGAGUCUAGGGAAUUGUUGAUUAUUGUUUGCCGUUAUUUUCUGAGAAUUUUGGAAGUAAAAUUCACAACAUUCUCUCGGCUGCAUUCUCCUCAAUCAUGAGAUAAGACUAGCAUCAAACAUUGCACCUUCUGUAGAGGACUCGUUCUCGUUAAAUUAUAUCACGAGACAAAGGUAUAAUUUAAAUCAAAAUUCAUAUGCUUAUAAUAAUAAAAAUCAGAAUUCUAGCUUGCCAAAUUAAACAACCCUCAAAGGUGACUCCCUAUUCCUUUAUGAUAUGUCAAAUCUGUGAGAAGAGAGGCCACAUUGCUUCUAGUUGCUAUAACAGGUUCAAUAAGUCUUUCAACGUAGGUCAGAAUAAGCAAGCACAUAUAGUGUUUGAGAAAGAGGAUGUUGGGAGUGAUACAACUAUGUGGUUUCCUGACUUUGGAGCUUCAACCCACAUUACUUCUUAUUUUGAGAAUCUGAGUUUUGCAGCUCCAUAUGAGGGAGAUGACAAGGUCACCAUUGCCAAUGGUACUGAUAUGGACAUUUUACACAUUGGAACUUCUUACUUGAAUUGUAAUAAUAAGAAAUUAUUUUUAAAAGAUCUCUUACAUAUUCCUGUUACAUCAAAGAACUUAAUUUCUGUUCAAUUUUUUUGUCAAGAUAAUAAUGUUAUCUUUGAAUUUGAUGAAUCUAAGGUGGUGGUGAAAGAUAAACACACAAGUGAAGUCUUAAUUAAAGGAGAUGUUAGGGAUGGGCUAUAUUCCUUCAGUACAGGUUCAUCCAUCCCACAUCAUGCUUUUCUUUGUGAAAAGGCCUCAUUAAAUAAAUGAUAUCUUAGAUUUUGGCAUAUUAAUGAGAACAUAACUAGAAAAAUUUGUAAUAAAUAUGAUUUGCCUAUUUUAAACAAUAAAUUUGAUAAAUGUAUUUCUUGCUCAAUUAGUAAAUAUCAUAAACUUCCUUUUUCAUCUUCUGAUUAUUCUGUUAAUAGGCCCCUAGAAUUGGUUUUUAGUGAUGUUUGGGGACCAUCUCCUCACACUUCACCACAAGGCUUUAGAUACUAUAUAUAUUAACUUUGUUGAUGUGUUCAGCAAAUGCAUUUGGAUCUUUUCGAUCCAGUGUAAAUCAGAGGUAUUUUCAAAAUUUCAGGAAUUUAAAACUAAUAUUGAAAAACAGUUAAAUUUGAAAAUAAAAGCAAUACAAACGGAUAAUGGUAGGGAAUAUAAAAAUACACUCCGGAUCACAAACGCCUACCCGUCCCCUGCGACACGUCUGUGAUCCGGAGGGGUCAACGUAGAUAUUCGAUUUCCCUUGACCUUGUCUAUAAGAUUUCGAUACGACAGUUUCAGUUGAAUUAUCGUUGGUUCCAGUUGAAAUCUCCUGGGAAGUUAAAACUCUCCCCCUCUGGUAUCAUUAUCUCUGCUAGAGGCGAUGUUUCCAACUCCGCGACCUUGUCUACUCAGAUCGUACCGUCUGCUCUUCGUCUUCACGACUCCUCGUUGAUAAAUCCAACGUCUUCACGGCGGACAUGUGAUCGCAAAAUCCCAUUUUCUUCCUUCCUUCCUUCCUUCCUUCGUUCGUUUUUUUUCUUUAUCGAAACAAGGUUUAAUUAAUCGCGAGGUCUGUAUUUUCCCAUACAGGUGGUGAAACGAUUCCUAGUCCCAGCUCCGGUCCCAGAAACGAUUCAUCGUCGGUGGCACGGGACAUCGAAGCUCUGACCAUAGGUGAAGCAUUGGAAGCAACAACAGUUACGAUUGGGAAUAAACCAGCAGAUUCCACAGAGUCAACUGAUUGUGUGCCAUCUGAUGGAUCCUCCUUGGCAGCAGAUUCCGACAACUGUGAUUCAUCGAUACAUUUCAAGCAGCUUCCGACGAACAUCAGGUACUUUGAUAGUAAAUUCCAGUUCCAGUUCUAGUCUAGUUCCCGGAACUGCAAUCGACGGUUCCAGGAACUACUCAUCGCUUCCCCGAAACUCGAUUCCAGUUUCGAGGAACUCGCGAUGGGUUCCCGGAACUGCAAUCGACGGUUCCAGUAACUACUCAUCGCUUCCCCAAAACUCGAUUCCAGUUCCGGGGAACUCGCGAUGGGUUCCGCGAUUGCAAUUCUUGGGAUGUGCGUUCCGCGAUUGCAGUUCCACGGAUGCAUGGGUUCCGCGAUUGCAGUUCCUCGGAUGGGUUCCGCGAUGUGUUCAGGGGAACCGACGGUCGGAUCGUAUGCCCGCAAAUGGUACCGUAGGAAAAACGAUCCGUUCCAAAAUCGCACCCUAUAAAAAUAACACAUUUAAAUCAUACUUAAUUAAACAUGGAAUUACUCAUCGGUUUUCUUGCCCCCAUACACAUGAACAAGUAGGAGUUAGUGAAAGGAAGCAUAGACACAUUGUGGACAUGGGUCUAGACUUAAUAGAAAAAUCUACCCUACCUCUGAAUUUAUGGCCUUAUGCUUUUAUAAGUGCUAUAUAUUUAAUCAAUCAUUUAUCAACUAGUAAUUCUCCUGAGUCACCUCAAGAGACUUUAUUUAAUAAAAGUCUAGAUUAUAAAUUUUUCAAAGUUUUUGGUUGUACAUGUUUCCCCAAUCUAAGACCAUACAGAUCACAUAAAUUCUCUUUUCGAUCUGAAAAAUGUGUAUUUCUUGGCUAUUCUCUGAAUAACAAAGGAUCUUUGUUAUAAUUUUCUAAAUGGAAAAAUAAUAAUAUUUAGAGAUGUGAUCUUCCAUGAGGAUGAUUUCUCAACUGCAAGGAUGAUUAAUAAAAAUCAAGUGCAUGAGAAAUCUGAAUUUAUAGAUGCUACUAACAAGCUUGUUGUCAUUAGACUAGGAAUAAUUCAUGACCAGAUAAAUCAGGAAGAGGAUAGAGAAAGUUUAAGUAAUGGUCAGGAAGAGGAAACAUCUCCAAACAACUCUCAAACAAUUGAAAACCUUCUUCAGAUUUUAUAUCAUCUACAGAUAAAUUUACAUUUGAUUCGUCUAUUAAUGAUAUUAGAAAUAUUGAGUCCAGAAUAGUAACUAGAAAUAUGAAUGACAUUUAUAAACCAAAUCCAAAAUAUACUCUUUCGGUGUCAUUAAGUGAAAAAAACACCUAAUUGUUUCACACAAGCUAAAGCAAACCCAAAAUGGGUAACUGCAAUGAAUGAAGAAUAUAAUGCUCUGUUGAAAACCUCAAUAUGGGAGCUAGUUAAGCAAAAACUUAAUAUAAACAUCAUAAGAUGUAAAUGAGUUUUUAAAAUAAAGCAAAAAUCAGAUGAGACUAUUAAUAGGUAUAAGGCCAGAUUAGUGGCCAAAGGAUACAAUCAGAGGAAAGGAAUAGAUUACGAGGAUACUUUCUCUCCUGUUGUGAAACCAGUAACAAUCAGAAUAAUUUUCUCAAUAGAUGUAUCUAACAACUGGAUAAUGAAGCAAUUAGACAUAUCCAAUGCUUUUCUAAACGGGAACUUAAAGGAACUAAUGUAUAUGACGCAACCACCUGGUUUUGUCAAUCAGAACACAAAGACCAUGUUUGUCUCCUAAAGAAGUCUCUUUAUGGUUUGAAACAAGCUCCUAGGGCCUGGUACGAAAGACUGAGGUAUUUUCUGAUUGAACUAGGUUUCAAUGACAAUAUCUCAGAUCCUUCAUUAUUCACUAAAGUCACACCUAAGGGUAAAAUGUUCUUCCUCAUAUAUGUGGAUGACAUAAUUCUUACUGGUUCUAAUCCUAUUGAGGUAGAAGAAAUGGUGGGUUCUCUAAAUAAUGAGUUUAAGCUUAAGAACAUGGGUAGACCUUCAUAUUUUUUAGGAGUAGAGGUCAUAUAUAAUAGAUCUGGAAUUCACCUAAACCAGACUAAGUAUAUGAAAGACUUACUGAUCAAGUUUGGGUUUGAAACUAUCAAAUCUUCUAAAACGCCAAUUUCUUAAAAUAGUUCGAUUUACACAGAACCAGGUGAGCAACUUCCUGAUCCCAAAAUAUAUAGAAGUGUUGUAGGUAGUCUUCAAUAUCUAGCUAUAACAAGACCCGACAUUGUUUUUGCUGUAAACAAAGUUUGUCAGUUCAUGUCUAAUCCUUGUGAAACUCAUUGGAUUGAGGUAAAGAAAAUAUUUAGAUACCUGUCAGGAACUUUAAAUCACGGACUUGCUAUUAGAGCAAUCAAGAACUCUAAUAUUCAGGUUUUUUCUGACAGUGACUGGGUAGGAGAUAAACUAGAUUGUAAAAGUCAAGGAGGUUUCUUAGUCGUUCUUGGAGCAAAUCUAAUGAUCUCUUGAAAUUCAAAGAAACGACCGACAAUAUCCAAAUCCAUCUGUGAGGCUGAAUUUAGGAGUCGCGGCCACAACAACUCAGGAAUUAAUCUGGGUACAACAGCUACUAAAAGAACUUGGUUUUGAAACAACCAUUCCCACACUAUUGUGUGAUAACAUGGGAGCAUUACAUCUUUCUGCAAAUCCUCUAUAUCACGCAAGAACAAAACAUAUAGAAAUAGAUUUUAAUUUUGUUAGAGAAAGAUUUAGAGACAAACAAUUAUUGGUUAAAUACAUUUCAAUAACAGAACAAUUAACAGAUAUCAUGACCAAACCUUUGGGAGCUUCAAUUUUUUCAAAAUUUAGAGAUAAAUUGGUCAUUGGGGUGCAACAUAAGAUAGUCUAACCCUCUUAAGAAAUAUCUAUUGAUAAAUGAAUGAAUUCAUCUUAACUUCCCUUACUUGCUUAUUACAUGAAAUACUUCAAUUAUUCAAUGAUUCAAUUGUAUAUAUGGUGUAUGAAAUAUUUAGAUAUAUGCAGGUUGCAUGAAAUACUCUAUUUGAAUGAUGUGGUGCUUGUAAGUUUUUCUAUGUUGUUGUUUCUGCCUGCAGGAAAUUUAUAUGUUGCAGGUCACUAGAAUGUCUUUUGAACUAAGUCUGGAUUUUCAGAAAUCAUACACUCAAAUUUAAGUCAAAAUAUACAGUCAUAUAUUUCUACAAUAUAUAUUUUUUUUUGAACUACAUACUAGUAAUCCAUGUGCAUGGUUUGUUCUUGUUUUUUGCAGAUUACUAUCUUAUAAGAUACUAUCUCUCAAUGGAUUGCUAUCAUCUCUUUGUUUGAGGUGAACAUUGGUGUAUCUAGCAUGAUGGGUAGGUUUUUCCCGGAAAAAGAUGUGAAAAACCACACACAUUCAAAAGAUGCCAAAAGAGCACACCUGAGUUUUUUCAUCUACCCAUCAUCCUGUUUACUCUGAGCUAAGAGUUAAGUUUCUCCGCUAUAUUCACAACAAGAUGGAAAUAACAAGAUGAUUCUUGAUGACUACUUUCUCAGUUCGUGAAUCCUACACAAAUCAAGAUUCUGCAUUCAAAUAUUUAUUCCCAGAAUGUUAGAUUUGAGAGGGAAUAUUAGAUAAAUAAUCAUAUAAGUAAUUAUAUGUUAUGGAAAAACUUCUAGAAUGGCACGUCCGCACGAUGAUCACCGUGCAGACACCAGAUCGGAGGUUCCGUGGAGAUGGGUUCCACGGAACUGGCGAUGGGUUCCACAAAACCGAAAUUGCAGUUCCGUGGAACCGCAAUCGAGUUCCGCGGAACUCGCGAUGGGUUCCGCGAAACCGAAAUCGAGUUCCGCCGAACCGCGAUCGAGUUCCGCCGAACUGAAAUCACUGUUCCGGUCAUGAUAUAUAUAUAUAUGACAAUCGGCGUCGGGAAUCCUUUGGCUUUCGUUCAUGGUGUUUUUCGCUUCUGUGUAAGUAAGCCAGCAAACAGAUUAAUCAAUUAGAUGAAUAAAUAAAUGAAUUUUAUAAGAAAUCAACGGUCAUAAUGAUGAACUCAUGAAUUGAAC